This 492-nucleotide ribosomal RNA is filed under the name uncultured bacterium. RNAcentral's name for it is "partial 16S ribosomal RNA". It matches the Rfam family "Bacterial small subunit ribosomal RNA", at positions 29 to 507 of the family's 1533-position model. The record is from RNAcentral.
AGUGUACGCUGGCGGUAGGCCUAACACAUGCAAGUCGAACGGCAGCACAGUAAGAGCUUGCUCUUACGGGUGGCGAGUGGCGGACGGGUGAGGAAUACAUCGGAAUCUACUUUUUCGUGGGGGAUAACGUAGGGAAACUUACGCUAAUACCGCAUACGACCUACGGGUGAAAGCAGGGGAUCUUCGGACCUUGCACGAUUGAAUGAGCCGAUGUCGGAUUAGCUAGUUGGCGGGGUAAAGGCCCACCAAGGCGACGAUCCGUAGCUGGUCUGAGAGGAUGAUCAGCCACACUGGAACUGAGACACGGUCCAGACUCCUACGGGAGGCAGCAGUGGGGAAUAUUGGACAAUGGGCGCAAGCCUGAUCCAGCCAUACCGCGUGGGUGAAGAAGGCCUUCGGGUUGUAAAGCCCUUUUGUUGGGAAAGAAAAGCAGCAGGUUAAUACCCCGCUGUUCUGACGGUACCCAAAGAAUAAGCACCGGCUAACUUCGUG